Long non-coding RNA from Canis lupus familiaris (dog), 1841 nucleotides. RefSeq lists it as uncharacterized. The record is from RefSeq and is a predicted model, not a curated record. Lineage: Eukaryota; Metazoa; Chordata; Mammalia; Carnivora; Canidae. The transcript is spliced from 3 exons.
CUGCAGGGUUUCCGGGUCACCGGCCUCUGAGGCGCCUGUGGUUCCGCGCGUUCCAGCCGGUCCUCUCCCAGCUGCCCGGUACCCAGAGGGUAACUCAGAAGCCAGGUUUGAAGGUGACUUCCUUCCAUUAGCCACAGUUUGAAGGUCUCCUGAAAAGUGUUGUCCUCAUUGUUUGUGAAAAAGGGAUGUAAAAAUUAGUAAAGAUUACUGAUUAUAUUUCUUAUAAAAAUAACAUUUAAGUGUUUUAUUAUGCAAAGAUACUGUUUGUAAUGUAGCUGCUUCUGCUGAGGGGAAUCGACCGGUUAAGGUCUGGGAAAGGGGGAUUUUUACUGUGUGUAUGAAUUGUGUACUGUGUGCAUGCAUUUCCCAUUCACAAAAAUAAAUAAUAGUUAUAUAACAAUAGUCAUUUUUAGUAGAUAUAUGUCUAAAUAGGGAAUCACUGUCUCUUUUUGUGGUUCCAAGAGAAAAUGGAUUCUAAAUAUGGGAAUAUGUGGUGAGAAAAGAAACAAAUGGACCACAUUUCUUGUCUCCAGACAAGUUUAGCGUUUUGAGGUUGUGGAUACUUUAAAUCUUGGUAUGCUUUCUUCAAUCUAUUUACUAUUAGCCUUAGGACUAGUGUAUAUUAUGCCUAAAUUCCGAUACUCUGCUGCCUUUCAGUUUUAGCUUUGUGUGUUGUUUUCUAUUUUAGGAAGUAACUAUGAGUAUUUUGUUAUUUAUUUAUUUUUUAUAACUGAGUAUUUUAGAUACAUCCUGAUUAUGCAUCAUAGGCUUUUAGCCAAAUGCUAUUAUAUGUCAAAAUUCAUAGACAAAUUAUUAGAAUUGCAGAACAAAUGGAAUUAACUUUAAAUUUUGAGGUUGGAAUGAAAAAAAAUCUUUAAUGAUUUCAUAAAGAACAACUCCAAAAGUGUAGCAUGUAAUUAUAGAAUGUUAGUAAACAUACAUAGAUUGAACACUUUCGAUAAAAUCAUGUGUAAUGAAAUGCUUUUAAAUCAUGUUCCAAAUUCAUUAUAAAGUUAUUAAAUACCUGAAAACUGCUCUAUGAGUAGUGAAUAUUCUAUAUAUUGAUUCAGAUAUAUAAAAAUCAGUUGACAGUCCACUGGUUUUUUUAGGCACACUCAGAUUCUCUUUAAAUAUGAGAAAUAUAGCAAUAUGCUUCCUGUUAUUCUAGGAAUCAGAUUCAUAAAAUGUAGUCCCAACACUGUCACUUAAUAUCUAUGUUAGCAACAGGAUAUUAAUAACAGGGCAGCCUAACUUACAGAGUGUAGUGAGCAUAAAAAUACAUUUCACAUAUAAUUUUGCAGCUGUGUUUUGAAAAUCUUCUCAUUCUAUGAAUAUAUAUGAUGAUAGGAAAUAUAACACUGUAUGGAGGAGUUUGUAGAAAUUAUAAACUGAAAAAUUAUCUGAAUAAAAUCAACUUCAAUUCUCAGAAUAUUUUCUCAUAUAUUAGCAUGUGUGUAUUCAUGUGUUAAGCAUGUCUCACUUGUUUUGUUUUCAUUUAAAUUCUCAGUUCUGAUAAAUCAUACUAAAUAUCUUAAUAUGACUUUUUUAUUGUGAAAAUUGUUAAUUUAUUAAUUGCUAUAAUUUUUUUCACUCCUUUCUAUGUCAUGCUAAAAAACACAUAACAUAAAGUACAUCAUUUUAACCAUUUUUAAGUGUACAACUUAGUGGUGUUAUGUAUGCAUAUUGUGAAGUGGAUCUCCAGAACUUUUUUUCCUGCAGAACUGGAACUCUCUACCCUUUAAGCAACAACUCUCAUUUCCGCCAUCAUCCAGUUUCUGAUAACUUUCAAAUCAUCCUGAAAACCUACAAAUUCGACUUGAGAUUUAAAGAGAGAACAGCUG